RNAcentral lists this ribosomal RNA (310 nucleotides) under uncultured bacterium. RNAcentral describes it as "bacterial SSU rRNA". It matches the Rfam family "Bacterial small subunit ribosomal RNA", at positions 1085 to 1398 of the family's 1533-position model. The record is from RNAcentral.
UCCCGCACGAGCGCACCCUUAUCCUUUGUUGCCAGCGGUCCGGCCGGGAACUCAAAGGAGACUGCCAGUGAUAAACUGGAGGAAGGUGGGGAUGACGUCAAGUCAUCAUGGCCCUUACGACCAGGGCUACACACGUGCUACAAUGGCGCAUACAAAGAGAAGCGACCUCGCGAGAGCAAGCGGACCUCAUAAAGUGCGUCGUAGUCCGGAUUGGAGUCUGCAACUCGACUCCAUGAAGUCGGAAUCGCUAGUAAUCGUGGAUCAAAAUGCCACGGUGAAUACGUUCCCGGGCCUUGUCCACCCGCCCGUA